RNAcentral lists this small nucleolar RNA (208 nucleotides) under Solanum tuberosum (potato). RNAcentral's name for it is "snoRNA Plant_U3". It matches the Rfam family "Plant small nucleolar RNA U3". From Rfam's summary of the family: Small nucleolar RNAs (snoRNAs) are involved in the processing and modification of rRNA in the nucleolus. There are two main classes of snoRNAs: the box C/D class, and the box H/ACA class. The record is from Rfam by way of RNAcentral. Lineage: Eukaryota; Viridiplantae; Streptophyta; Magnoliopsida; Solanales; Solanaceae.
GACCUUACUUGAACAAGAUCUGUUCUAUAGAUACCACUGUAUCUUUGAUUUCUAAGGAGAUAGAAAACCAAGUCUGGUGGAUGAUUCGUAGCCAUUAGACCAGAGCGUGAUUAAUAGCUUCCAUGAUCCUCGGGUCAUGGUGCCAUAGAUGAUUGUUCUUAACCUCGAUCAUGGGUGUUGAGAUGGUUUAAUGGUUGUCUGACAGACU